This 440-nucleotide ribosomal RNA is filed under the name uncultured bacterium. Its description in RNAcentral is "partial 16S ribosomal RNA". It matches the Rfam family "Bacterial small subunit ribosomal RNA", at positions 338 to 795 of the family's 1533-position model. The record is from RNAcentral.
CCUACGGGUGACAGCAGUGGGGAAUAUUGCACAAUGGGGGAAACCCUAAUGCAGCGACGCCGCGUGAGUGAAGAAGGAUUUCGGUAUGUAAAGCUCUGUCAGCAGGGAAGAAAAUGACGGUACCUGACCAAGAAGCCCCGGCUAACUACGUGCCAGCAGCCGCGGUAAUACGUAGGGGUCAAGCGCUAUCCGGAUUUACUGGGUGUAAAGGGGGCGUAGACGGCAGGGCAAGUCUGGAGUGAAAGGCCCGGGCUCAACCCCCGGACUGCACUUGAAACUGCCAGGCUGGAGUGCAGGAGAGGUAAGUGGAAUUCCUGGGGUAGCGGUGAAAUGCGUAGAUAUUAGGAGGAACACCAGUGGCGAAGGCGGCUUACUGGACUGUAACUGACGUUGAGGCGCGAAAGCGUGGGGAGCAAACAGGAUUAGAUACCCGUGUAGUC